UCCUCCACUCUUCCCGUAGAAAACUUGUUCGAGCCCUAUCUGUUCGAAGCAGCAGGGUAGGAUAGGGCGGAGCCGCCGGUGACCCCGGCGUUGGCGGUGGCAGCGGCAGAGGGGUUCGGAGAGAAUGGCCGCUGGGGCGAGGAGGCGGAGCCGAUGACCCCAGCGGUGGCGGCGGCAGAGGGGGUCGGCGAUGAUGGCCGAUGGGGCGAGGAGGCGGAGCCGAUGACCCCGGCGGCAGCGGCAGAGGGGUCCUAGGGGCUCGAGGACCGACGUCUGAUGCAGCCGUGGUUCCUUGCCGUCAAGAGCUAGAUCGAGCGCACGACGGUGUAGCCGUCCAGAGGAAGAAGAAGAGCACCCUGCGCCGGUUCGGCCGUGGCGUCACGGAGGAGAUGGAGAGAAAGGGCACUGGUGGCCCCGUGAAGGUCGAGGAGGUCGCCGCCUCGUCGUGCAGCGCGCGAUGGUGGACCGAUGGGCGUCCAAGAGGCACUUGACCUUGCCGGAUCACACUGCUGCUGGCGUAAUCCAGGCCGGAUCUGUGGAGAGCCUGGCGCAGGCACGCAACACCGUCUACAGAUUGAUAAGGGCAGGAGCUUCAAUGACGAAUCUACUAUUCAACACACAUCCCAACUCGACAGGCACUAGCCAUGUCAACAGGCACUCAGGGGCAUGCUCGCCUCGGCAAUCAUCAAGGUGGCAAUAGGACACUUGAAUUCUACCAUUUCAGGUGAGAUCAAGCUGCACAGGAAUAUGAGGAACGAUCCGAUCUGGAGAACAUGAAGAUGACGCUGGAGUCGGUGGAUGCUGUGCUCCGCGAUGCUGAGAGGGAGUCUAUCAAGCAUAAGUCCAUGCUUCUGUGGCUGAAGCAACUUAAGGAUGCCACGAACGACAUCUCUCACGUGCUUGAAGAUUUUGAAGAAGAAACCGACCUCAACAUGGUAUUUUGGCAAUGUUGGCUCUUGGGCUGCCCAAUUGAUCACUGAAGCUGGUGGCAAGGUGGUCUCCAUCAAAGAUGUCACAGGGGCUGUCAAGAACUCCAAUGGCAUCGACAUAGCCAAGCUGAUGAAGCACUCGGCAGAGAACCGCGGGAUCAAGGGCUCCGACAAAAGGCGACGCCGCCGACCCGACCUCGCUGCUCACGGAAGAGUGCGACGUGCUCAUCCCGGCAGCUCUGGGAGGAGUCAUAAACAAGGACAAUGUUGAUGCCCUCAAAGCAAAGUACAUCAUCAAGGCUGCUAACCACCCAACAAACCCCGAGGCCGAAGAG
Triticum aestivum (bread wheat) is the source of this 1264-nucleotide long non-coding RNA. RefSeq lists it as uncharacterized. Lineage: Eukaryota; Viridiplantae; Streptophyta; Magnoliopsida; Poales; Poaceae. The record is from RefSeq and is a predicted model, not a curated record. The transcript has 4 exons.